Molecule: non-coding RNA, 78 nt
Filed under: Betaproteobacteria bacterium
Lineage: Bacteria; Pseudomonadati; Pseudomonadota; Betaproteobacteria
Source: RNAcentral
UCCCACUUCCGCGCCGAUUUGAUUGUUCAGCUUGCGGGCGCGUUACAAAUUCCGCUAAAGAGACGCGUCGACCAGGCC